Molecule: ribosomal RNA, 1346 nt
Filed under: uncultured bacterium
Lineage: Bacteria
Description: partial 16S ribosomal RNA
Rfam family: Bacterial small subunit ribosomal RNA
Source: RNAcentral
GACGAACGCUGGCGGCGUGCUUAACACAUGCAAGUCGAACGGAAAGGCCCUGCUUUUGUGGGGUGCUCGAGUGGCGAACGGGUGAGUAACACGUGAGUAACCUGCCCUUGACUUUGGGAUAACUUCAGGAAACUGGGGCUAAUACCGGAUAGGAGCUCCUGCUGCAUGGUGGGGGUUGGAAAGUUUCGGCGGUUGGGGAUGGACUCGCGGCUUAUCAGCUUGUUGGUGGGGUAGUGGCUUACCAAGGCUUUGACGGGUAGCCGGCCUGAGAGGGUGACCGGCCACAUUGGGACUGAGAUACGGCCCAGACUCCUACGGGAGGCAGCAGUGGGGAAUAUUGCACAAUGGGCGGAAGCCUGAUGCAGCAACGCCGCGUGCGGGAUGACGGCCUUCGGGUUGUAAACCGCUUUCGCCUGUGACGAAGCGUGAGUGACGGUAAUGGGUAAAGAAGCACCGGCUAACUACGUGCCAGCAGCCGCGGUGAUACGUAGGGUGCGAGCGUUGUCCGGAUUUAUUGGGCGUAAAGGGCUCGUAGGUGGUUGAUCGCGUCGGAAGUGUAAUCUUGGGGCUUAACCCUGAGCGUGCUUUCGAUACGGGUUGACUUGAGGAAGGUAGGGGAGAAUGGAAUUCCUGGUGGAGCGGUGGAAUGCGCAGAUAUCAGGAGGAACACCAGUGGCGAAGGCGGUUCUCUGGGCCUUUCCUGACGCUGAGGAGCGAAAGCGUGGGGAGCGAACAGGCUUAGAUACCCUGGUAGUCCACGCUGUAAACGGUGGGUACUAGGUGUGGGGUCCAUUCCACGGGUUCCGUGCCGUAGCUAACGCUUUAAGUACCCCGCCUGGGGAGUACGGCCGCAAGGCUAAAACUCAAAGGAAUUGACGGGGCCCCGCACAAGCGGCGGAGCAUGCGGAUUAAUUCGAUGCAACGCGUAGAACCUUACCUGGGUUUGACAUGGAUCGGGAGUGCUCAGAGAAGGGUGUGCCUCUUUUGGGGUCGGUACACAGGUGGUGCAUGGCUGUCGUCAGCUCGUGUCGUGAGAUGUUGGGUUAAGUCCCGCAACGAGCGCAACCCUUGUUCACUGUUGCCAGCACGUUAUGGUGGGGACUCAGUGGAGACCGCCGUGGUCAACUCGGAGGAAGGUGGGGAUGACGUCAAGUCAUCAUGCCCCUUAUGUCCAGGGCUUCACGCAUGCUACAAUGGCUGGUACAGAGAGUGGCGAGCCUGUGAGGGUGAGCGAAUCUCGGAAAGCCGGUCUCAGUUCGGAUUGGGGUCUGCAACUCGACCUCAUGAAGUCGGAGUCGCUAGUAAUCGCAGAUCAGCAACGCUGCGGUGAAUACGUUCCCGGGGCU